UGGCCGCAGCGGGAGGGCGAUGCCGGUGCAAGGGCAAACCGCCUCCCUGCGGCCGUUGCCAAGCGCACGCACCCGGGCUGGAAGUCCUGGCUCCAGUCAGCCCUUAGGGUCACACAGCACCGAGAAUUUCAGCUUUCCUAGAGAUGGAGAGCAGGAGCGCUCAGGGCAUACCUUGACAGAAUGCGGGGACCAGGGACAACAAAGAGGAAUGUGGACUGAGCAGAGCUUCGUGGCUGCUGGAGGAUCGGGGCUCGAGCUAAGUUCCCGAGAAUGGGUCGGAGAGGUUCCAAUCCUCAACCCGGCGUUCAAACAGGACUGGGUGGGGAAAUGCCUUGGUGGCGCUCCGGACUACAGGACUCAGGGGCGAUCCCCUCCCCCAGGCGACGGCGGAUUCCUGGAGGCUCCCAGCUUCGCGCGCCGCCUCGCAGUCGGUUCUUUUGUGUUCCGCAGCCCGGGAAAGGCCCCUGAGAAGGGGGGAAGGUGGGCAGGAGGGCGCCGGGUCUGGCGGCAGCUUGUAGGGAAAGGCAGCGGAGCAAAGGUACCGGCGCUUCCUGCAGCUACUGCUUCCUCCGGGAGCUCGCUCUGUUGCUCUCUUGUUCAGUUGUGGACUUUUCUCAUGCCCAGGCGGAGAAUGGUUUGCUCGGCUUCUUGUGGGCGGUUGCUGGCCUUUGUUAAGCAAGCGAACGGUUAAAGUCCUUUGUGGACCCCUCCACCCUAACUCACUAGAGACCCAAACAACUUGAACAAUGAAUUUGCUUUGAGCCAUGUGAGAACUUUUUUGAUUGACCAAUUGAAUAUUGGCAAAUUCAUACAGUCCGGCUUGGCGGACUACUUAUUUUUCUUAUUCAUUUGUGAAUUUACCUCUUUGAAGCACUACGGAGCUGGCGUCUGUCUGCAUGGAGCCUAAGAGGUUCACGGUGGCUCGUCUGGAGCAUCAGAACUUUAUGAACAGCACACACUGUGCUGAGUUCUUUACCUGUUAGCAUGUUAACCCGUCAACCCCAUGCAAAAGCCCACUUCACAGAGUGAAGCAACUGUCACUGUCACAGGAUUAGUGAGUGGGUCCAGAGACCUGGUCCCGUUUGAAACAGUAUUUUUGCUAUUUAGCAAGGUAUUUUACUUUUUUUUCUUUUUAAGUGUUCCAUAAAGUUUUUUAUGCACUUCCUUAUGGUUUUUAUGGUGAAGUGUUUGUUUCUCUGUGUUCUAGUUCAGUGAAGUAAACAGAUCAAAGGACGGAUUGACAACACUUGGAGCUGGAGAAAAGGCUCAGCUGUUGGGAGCACUAGACUAGAGGUCCUGGGUUCAACUCCCAGCAUCCACAUGUCAGCUCACAACUGUGUGUACCUCCGGUUUCAGGGAAUCCAUGGCAACGGGUGCAUGGUGCACAUGUAGACCCAGGAAGGCAGAAUACCCAUACACAUAAACUAGAAUAAAAUAAAUCUUUUAACACAAGAAAAUCACAACGCUUUAAGUAUGGUUGAUUUUGUUUACGAUUUGAGAGAAACAGGUUUUGUCAGUUGUCAAAAACCUGGUUUUUAAGGACCAGGAAGCUUCAUUACAAAUGAUUAGAACACUAACCCCGCAUGAGUGUAACCAAUGGAUGUUCUUGGGGGACAGUGACUAAGGGGAAGUGGCAGAGAAGUUGGAUAGCCAGUCUUAAUAACACAAGACAGGUUGUCAGGCCCCCCUGACUGAUGAAUAACUUUGGUGGAUAUGGCUGCUGUCUUGCCACUGUCUUUCUAAAAUGAGUUAGAACACUCAGCUUCAGACCAGCUCACCCCGAGGACCUCUUUGGGCACUCUAGCUGGCCUCACAAUGAGAGGUAGGGCUGCUCCCCACAGGGCUCACAAAGGUGGGCUCUGAAGUCAAGUACACCCUCAUCCCCAAAGCAGCACCCCAGAAGACAGAAACCUACAUCCACCACGGGGACCCGUGUAAGAUAAAGAGCGAGCACUUCCCAUCUAAAGAAGAAAAUGAAGAAGAUGAAGCUAAUGGGCCACCCUGCUCUCUUUUAAAACCAGUGUUUGCAGAAAUGUAGCUCCCUGGACUUCAGUCUCAGAAUCAUGUGAGAUAUUAGUUUAAAACUAACUUUAGUGGGCUUCUUUUCCUGUUGGAAUAGAGUGUAUUUAGAGUGGAAACCCAUAAUAUGCCCAGUUAACCAGGAAAAUGGCCAGGUGGACUUUGCUACUAUGACCCACUUAAGGAGAUAGACCUGGAGGAAGCAGAUUCCAACGCUUGCAGUGGUGAGGGUCUCAAGAGACUGCUCCCACCCUGAAUGUUGGGUCACUCAUCCUGCCUUGGGUGACACAGAAGAGAUGGCCUUCUACCUGAUUUGAGGACGCAGCCGCAGCAAUCCUGGGGGUAGGCUAGGAUCUGUCCUUCUCAGGAGUGCAAGCCUGCCAGCAAGAAGAUGCUUGGCUCAGCUUUAGAGGGAUGGUACUUUGAGUGAAUGACCACCUUGGAGACCGUUCUUCUGUUUCCCUUGUUACCAGCCAGGAGGCAGAAGAGUCCACCGGUCCAGGAAAGACCCAUUUCCCUUGAGUUUCCAGAAAGUACCUCAUGCUUGAGAGAUCAGGCCAACAACUAUGGCUCUCGUCUUCAGUGCCCUGCUGUUACUGGGGCUGUGUGGAAAGAUCUCUUCAGAAGGUCAGCCUGCAUUCCAUAACACUCCUGGGGCUAUGAAUUAUGAAUUGCCUACCACCAAAUAUGAGACCCAAGAUACCUUCAAUGCUGGGAUUGUUGGCCCUCUCUACAAAAUGGUGCACAUCUUCCUCAACGUGGUCCAGCCGAAUGACUUCCCUCUAGAUUUGAUCAAAAAACUCAUACAGAACAAGAACUUUGACAUCUCAGUUGAUUCCAAGGAGAUUGCCCUCUAUGAGAUCGGAGUCCUUAUCUGCGCCAUCCUGGGACUGCUGUUCAUUAUCCUCAUGCCUCUGGUGGGCUGCUUCUUUUGUAUGUGCCGUUGCUGCAACAAAUGCGGCGGAGAGAUGCACCAGCGGCAGAAGCAGAAUGCGCCAUGCAGGAGGAAGUGCUUGGGCCUCUCCCUCCUGGUGAUUUGUCUGCUCAUGAGCCUUGGCAUUAUAUAUGGCUUUGUGGCUAACCAGCAGACCAGGACUCGGAUCAAAGGGACCCAGAAACUGGCAAAGAGCAAUUUCAGAGACUUUCAAACACUCCUGACUGAAACACCAAAGCAAAUUGACUAUGUAGUGGAGCAGUACACCAACACCAAGAACAAGGCAUUCUCAGACCUGGAUGGCAUCGGCUCCGUGCUGGGAGGCAGAAUAAAGGACCAACUAAAACCCAAAGUAACUCCUGUCCUCGAAGAGAUUAAGGCCAUGGCGACAGCCAUCAAACAGACCAAGGAUGCCCUGCAGAACAUGAGCAGCAGCCUGAAAAGUCUCCAAGAUGCAGCCACCCAGCUCAAUACCAACCUGAGCUCUGUGAGAAACAGCAUCGAGAAUUCGCUCAGCAGCAGUGACUGUACCUCAGAUCCAGCCAGCAAGAUCUGCGAUAGCAUCAGACCAAGCCUAAGCAGUCUGGGGAGCAGCCUCAAUUCAAGUCAGCUCCCAUCAGUGGAUAGAGAACUCAACACUGUUACUGAAGUCGACAAAACUGAUCUGGAGAGCCUCGUCAAAAGGGGGUAUACGACAAUUGAUGAAAUACCCAAUACAAUACAAAACCAAACUGUGGAUGUCAUCAAAGACGUCAAAAAUACCUUGGACUCCAUUAGCUCCAACAUUAAGGACAUGAGCCAAAGUAUUCCUAUUGAGGAUAUGCUGUUACAGGUCUCCCAUUACCUUAAUAACAGCAACAGAUACUUAAACCAGGAGCUGCCCAAGCUGGAAGAAUAUGACUCGUACUGGUGGCUGGGUGGCUUGAUUGUCUGCUUUCUGCUGACUCUCAUUGUGACCUUCUUUUUCCUGGGCUUGCUGUGUGGUGUGUUUGGCUAUGACAAGCAUGCCACCCCAACUAGAAGAGGCUGUGUGUCCAACACUGGAGGCAUCUUCCUCAUGGCUGGGGUUGGAUUCGGCUUCCUUUUUUGCUGGAUAUUGAUGAUCCUUGUGGUUCUUACGUUUGUUGUUGGUGCAAAUGUGGAAAAGUUGCUCUGCGAACCUUAUGAAAACAAGAAAUUAUUACAGGUUUUGGACACUCCCUAUCUGCUCAAGGAACAAUGGCAAUUUUAUCUUUCUGGCAUGCUAUUCAAUAACCCAGACAUUAACAUGACCUUUGAGCAAGUCUACAGGGAUUGCAAAAGAGGUCGAGGUAUAUAUGCUGCUUUUCAGCUUGAGAAUGUCGUCAACGUCAGUGAUCAUUUCAACAUUGACCAGAUUUCUGAAAACAUAAAUACGGAGUUGGAAAACCUGAAUGUGAACAUUGAUAGCAUUGAACUGUUGGAUAACACAGGAAGGAAGAGCCUCGAGGACUUUGCACAUUCUGGGAUAGAUACAAUCGAUUAUUCCACAUACUUGAAGGAGACUGAGAAAUCCCCUACUGAAGUGAAUCUGCUGACAUUUGCCUCUACCCUGGAAGCAAAAGCAAACCAGUUGCCUGAAGGAAAGCUGAAACAGGCCUUCUUACUGGAUGUACAGAAUAUAAGAGCCAUCCACCAGCAUCUCCUCCCUCCUGUGCAGCAAUCACUGAAUACGUUAAGACAAAGUGUCUGGACCCUCCAGCAAACAAGCAACAAGUUGCCGGAGAAAGUGAAGAAGAUCCUUGCCUCUUUGGACUCUGUUCAGCAUUUCCUCACCAAUAACGUUUCCCUCAUCGUUAUCGGGGAAACGAAGAAGUUUGGGAAAACAAUACUAGGCUACUUUGAACAUUAUCUGCACUGGGUCUUUUAUGCCAUCACAGAGAAGAUGACAUCCUGCAAACCCAUGGCCACCGCGAUGGACUCUGCUGUUAAUGGCAUUCUGUGUGGCUAUGUUGCGGACCCUCUGAAUUUGUUCUGGUUCGGCAUAGGGAAAGCCACGGUGCUCUUACUUCCGGCUGUAAUCAUUGCUAUCAAGCUGGCCAAGUACUAUCGCAGGAUGGAUUCAGAGGAUGUAUACGACGACUCGUCCGUCUCGGGGAUGUGGCAUUUCACUUUAUGAUAACUUGUCGUUGCUCCUUCCCGCCAGUUCUGCCACCCACCUUUGUUCUGUGUCUGGUGAACAUGCAUGCUUCCUUUUGACUGCUCUCUUCUCAUCAUCUCUGCUGUUUGAAUUGUCAGCACUCACUGCAGUGAAAACACUGGGAGGGGGGGAGAUCAUGAGCCUUAAUAGUGACGCAACAAGGAAAUAACCCUGUCUCCCCCUUUUGUAUUUUAUAGUGUUGAGACUGUGCCCAUGAAAAAUUUGGAAAUCGGUAGUAAUGGUUAUCAUAAAGAUCAUUUAUAUGGUGUUCACAAUCCUGUUAUGACAAGCCCGUCUCGAUACUGACAACUGGAGUUGAAGCUGCUUGAACAACAAGAUAGUCAACAUGGAAAGCAUCACAGAUUUUGGAUAGUUUCUGAGUCUUCUAGAACGUUCCAAGUGCAGAAGAAACCUGGUGGAGACUCAGGCGGGCACUAGGAACAUGGCAUCAGUGGUCUUAGGGUAGCACUUUGUCAGGAAUGAACAGUCAUCAUGGUUAUAAUCCACAUAUCCAUUGCAACUCAUGAAUGAUUCUCUCCUGUUUUGUUUUUAACUUUUCUUUUUACACUGAUUUUCUAUUUAGACACUAAAACAUAUAGGGGUGCUUAUUCCCCCUGGAUACAUUUACCUGUGAACCAGCUAUUCCGGUGUCAUAGCUGGGUACCUAACUUACUUCCAUAUGUGAAGUGUGCUAAACACAAACCAGUUUACAGAAGAGAUGUAUUUUGUGUAUAGUAAACUGUAUAUAUACCCUUUUACCACAGUCAGUUUUUUAAACAAAUGAAUACUCUAGAUUUUUCUUCUAAAUGAGGUUACUGUUGGGGUGGUUGUGACCUAGUGAUGCUGUAGAAAGGAGUCUGCAUUCACUAAAAGUGUGUCAACCUAGAGCAGGCAAUGCCCUUCCUUGUGGAUUUCUGUCUGCUCGUUUUGGAGCUACCUGCGGUUUAGAAAUAGAAUUCAAGAACAAUCACGGAGUUUCCCACUUGAUGCCACUGCCAAAGUCAGAACAAGGGAUCUUGAGAGAAGGAACUGUCGCUCAGCUGGGAGCGGAAUCAUUAUCGCAAUCACAGGUCCUGGUUCACAGUUUAGUGGCACUCUCUGGUUUGUAAGAAUGGGCAUUACGUUCAGUGUCAUCUGGUCAUCUGUGAUGUGUGUCAUCAGCCUGUCCUGAUGUUGAGAUUUAAAAUAAAGCAUGAAUGAACAGAG
Mus musculus (house mouse) is the source of this 6317-nucleotide RNA transcript. It is a transcript of the gene named prominin 1, with no coding region annotated. The transcript has 27 exons. The record is from RefSeq and is marked validated. NCBI's taxonomy places the organism in Eukaryota, Metazoa, Chordata, Mammalia, Rodentia, Muridae.